UGGAUCGAUGAUGGUGACUGUGGUCUAUGAGGCUUGGAUGGUGAAUAAUAUGUGUCUGGGACUCUGAAGGCCAG
Small nucleolar RNA from Manis javanica (Malayan pangolin), 74 nucleotides. RefSeq annotates it as small nucleolar RNA SNORD113/SNORD114 family. Lineage: Eukaryota; Metazoa; Chordata; Mammalia; Pholidota; Manidae. The record is from RefSeq and is a predicted model, not a curated record.